RNAcentral lists this ribosomal RNA (497 nucleotides) under uncultured bacterium. Its description in RNAcentral is "partial 16S ribosomal RNA". It matches the Rfam family "Bacterial small subunit ribosomal RNA", at positions 28 to 507 of the family's 1533-position model. The record is from RNAcentral.
GAUGAACGCUGGCGGCGUGCCUAAUACAUACAAGUCGAGCGAACGGACGAGAAGCUUGCUUCUCUGAUGUUAGCGGCGGACGGGUGAGUAACACGUGGAUAACCUACCUAUAAGACUGGGAUAACUUCGGGAAACCGGAGCUAAUACCGGAUGAUAUUUUGAACCGCAUGGUUCAAAAGUGAAAGACGGUCUUGCUGUCACUUAUAGAUGGAUCCGCGCUGCAUUAGCUAGUUGGUAAGGUAACGGCUUACCAAGGCAACGAUGCAUAGCCGACCUGAGAGGGUGAUCGGCCACACUGGAACUGAGACACGGUCCAGACUCCUACGGGAGGUAGCAGUAGGGAAUCUUCCGCAAUGGGCGAAAGCCUGACGGAGCAACGCCGCGUGAGUGAUGAAGGUCUUCGGAUCGUAAAACUCUGUUAUUAGGGAAGAACAUAUGUGUAAGUAACUGUGCACAUCUUGACGGUACCUAAUCAGAAAGCCACGGCUAACUACGUG